AUGGAGGAUAGAGAGAGAGAGGAUGGAGGGAGAGAGGAUGGAGGAUGGAGGGAGAGAGAAUGGAGGAUAGAGAGAGAGAGGAUGGAGGAUGAGAUGAUGGAGGGAGAGAGGAUGGAGGAUAGAGAGAGAGAGGAUGGAGGGAGAGAGGAUGGAGGAUGGAGGGAGAGAGGAUGGAGGGAGAGAGGAUGGAGGGAGAGAGGAUGGAGGAUGGAGGGAGAGAGGAUGGAGGGAGAGAGGAUAGAGGGAGAGAGGAUAGAGGGAGAGAGGAUGGAGGGAGAGAGGAUGGAGGGAGAGGGGAUGGAGGGAG
Molecule: long non-coding RNA, 307 nt
Organism: Clupea harengus (Atlantic herring)
Lineage: Eukaryota; Metazoa; Chordata; Actinopteri; Clupeiformes; Clupeidae
Source: Ensembl